UAACGUACAGGCAAACCAAAUGGGUCACUCAGACCCUUUAUCUCCCAAAACGUUCAAUAACUUACCUUAAUUCCCCAUCCGUUACAUUGCAGUUCAUCUUCUAAAACAUCAGUACGUUUUCUUUUCAUUUUGGCAAGCAAGGAAGUGCAGAGAGUUAACUUGAGAGGGUGAAGAGAGAUCUCAGAUGGCUUAAGCAAGAGAGAAUCAACCAAACACUAAAUCAAAACCUCCAUGGCCAUCUCACUUCAUCUUCUUCAUUAAAUCUUCAUAUAUUCUAGAGAGAGAAGGAAGUGGGCGGAAGGAUGAAGCCUUGAUAAGGCUAUGGGAGGAUUCAAAGGAAGAAUUAAAAUCAAAUCAAGCAAACAAUACAAUUCAAGAGGUAAUUCUGUUUCCUGAAAAAAUUCUAUCAGUAAAUUAGGAAUUGAUUGAAAUUGUUACUAUAAUUGUUGAAAAUGGUUUCUAUAUGAAAUCUGAAGCUUAGACUCCUAUGAAAAGCAAUAAAAAUCUGAGUUCUAUAGUUGUGUCCACCAUUUGUUUGGUAAAAUGUCUAUGUGGGACUGUUUUCCAAAAAGCAAUGGAAUUUAAAAGAAAUUAAUGAAUAAGAAAUAUGUCUAGUGAUAAGAAAUAAAGAAAAAGUCUGUUUUUAAGUACUUGAACUUAGAAGAUGGUAGCUAAGAAGUAUUAUGAAUAAUUUGGUGAAGUAAUUUUUGGGCUCUGCAGUAGAUAAACCAAAUCAGAGCUGAUGCCAAAGUGGCGCGGCCGCGCCACUUCCAAGGCCAAAGACCAGCGCGGCCGCAUCGGUUUGCAGUUGUCCCAAGAUA
Molecule: long non-coding RNA, 821 nt
Filed under: Panax ginseng (ginseng)
Lineage: Eukaryota; Viridiplantae; Streptophyta; Magnoliopsida; Apiales; Araliaceae
Description: long non-coding RNA (PGIN_LNC016390)
Source: RNAcentral